CUGUCAUAAGAGCAAACAAAAUGCUAAGCUUUGCUUCCUAUCACUUCAGUUAGCCUGUGAUGUAAGUUGCGAGUCUUGCCUGCACCCUUUUUUUCCCCACAAAGGCAUUGACUAAUUCUCGGGCAGCACAGUGCAGAUGGAGACACUUCAGUGGACAUGUCUCCUGGGGCUCUUGUCCGUCCGAGCAGCACCUUCCUGGUCAGAUCCCAACGAGAACUGCAGCAGAAACAGCACCAUGGAAGGCAUCUUCUUCAUCCUGAGCCUGCCAGUGUUAGUAAUCGUAGUCAGCGUCAUCAUCGGAGCGGCAGUUUCGUACUGUACCAGGACUAAAGUGUACAGACCGGCAAAGGUACACCAGCACAGGCAACUGCUGUGUCCCCACCACAGUGACCAGCAGAGCCACAGCAGAAAAUUGAGAACAGAGAACCAGAACUGCACUUAGGAGGAAGCAGGAACAGCUAAAAACUCCUAUCUUCACUUCAAUGUCUCAAACAUGUGACUUUCUGUUCUCUUUCUUUUUUUUCUUUUUUUUUUUAACUAAAGUUAGUCUCUCCGUGUGCGCGCGUAUCUUAGCACAGGAAAAGGGGAUGGGGGGGCGGAUGUGAUGUCAGCUGUCUUUUGAUGUUUGAAAAGCAAAGUGCACAUUUAUUAGAAGCUAUGUACAUGCAUUACCUCAUAUGUGUUCUACUUUCAGUUAUCACAUGUAAAAAAUAAACACAGGUG
RNAcentral lists this long non-coding RNA (723 nucleotides) under Scleropages formosus (Asian bonytongue). Its description in RNAcentral is "lncRNA (ENSSFOG00015026747.1)". The record is from RNAcentral. Lineage: Eukaryota; Metazoa; Chordata; Actinopteri; Osteoglossiformes; Osteoglossidae.